UUGGAUGAACCUAGGUGGGAUUAGCUAGUUGGUGAGGUAAUGGCUCACCAAGGCGUACGAUCCCUAGCUGUUCUGAGAGGAUGAUCAGCCACACUGGGACUGAGACACGGCCCAGACUCCUACGGGAGGCAGCAGUGGGGAAUAUUGCACAAUGGGGGGAAACCCUGAUGCAAGCCAUGCCGCGUGUGUGAAGAAGGCCUUCGGGUUGUAAAGCACUUUCAGUAGGGAGGAAAGGUAAUAGUUUAAUAAACUAUUACUGUUGACGUUACCUACAGAAGAAGGACCGGCUAACUCCGUGCCAGCAGCCGCGGUAA
This 314-nucleotide ribosomal RNA is filed under the name uncultured bacterium. RNAcentral describes it as "bacterial SSU rRNA". It matches the Rfam family "Bacterial small subunit ribosomal RNA", at positions 221 to 523 of the family's 1533-position model. The record is from RNAcentral.